GUGGAUAUAGCGCAGUUGGUUAGCGUGCCAGGUUGUGGCCCUGGAGGUCGUGGGUUCGAAUCCCACUAUUCACCCCA
Molecule: transfer RNA, 77 nt
Filed under: Firmicutes bacterium CAG:475
Lineage: Bacteria; Bacillati; Bacillota
Also listed under: 5 other names
Description: transfer RNA-His(GTG)
Rfam family: tRNA
About the family: Transfer RNA (tRNA) molecules are approximately 80 nucleotides in length. Their secondary structure includes four short double-helical elements and three loops (D, anti-codon, and T loops). Further hydrogen bonds mediate the characteristic L-shaped molecular structure. tRNAs have two regions of fundamental functional importance: the anti-codon, which is responsible for specific mRNA codon recognition, and the 3' end, to which the tRNAs corresponding amino acid is attached (by aminoacyl-tRNA synthetases). tRNAs cope with the degeneracy of the genetic code in two manners: having more than one tRNA (with a specific anti-codon) for a particular amino acid; and 'wobble' base-pairing, i.e. permitting non-standard base-pairing at the 3rd anti-codon position.
Source: RNAcentral